This 240-nucleotide ribosomal RNA is filed under the name uncultured bacterium. RNAcentral's name for it is "partial 16S ribosomal RNA". It matches the Rfam family "Bacterial small subunit ribosomal RNA", at positions 95 to 334 of the family's 1533-position model. The record is from RNAcentral.
UUGGCGGACGGGUGAGUAACGCGUGGGUAACCUGCCUCACACUGGGGGAGUAACAGUUAGAAAUAGCUGCUAAUACCGCAUAAGCGCACGGUUCCGCAUGGAACAGUGUGAAAAACUCCGGUGGUGUGAGAUGGACCCGCGUCUGAUUAGCCAGUUGGCGGGGUAACGGCCCACCAAAGCGACGAUCAGUAGCCGGCCUGAGAGGGUGAACGGCCACAUUGGGACUGAGACACGGCCCAA